Molecule: ribosomal RNA, 486 nt
Filed under: uncultured bacterium
Lineage: Bacteria
Description: partial 16S ribosomal RNA
Rfam family: Bacterial small subunit ribosomal RNA
Source: RNAcentral
AUUGAACGCUGGCGGCAUGCCUUACACAUGCAAGUCGAACGGCAGCACGGGUGCUUGCUCCUGGUGGCGAGUGGCGAACGGGGGAGUAAUACAUCGGAACAUGUCCUGUAGUGGGGGAUAGCCCGGCGAAAGCCGGAUUAAUACCGCAUACGAACUACGGAUGAAAGCGGGGGACCGUCGGGUCUCGCGCUUUCGGGUUGGCCGAUGGCUGAUUAGCUAGUUGGUGGGGUAAAGGCCUACCAAGGCGACGAUCAGUAGCUGGUCUGAGAGGACGACCAGCCACACUGGGACUGAGACACGGCCCAGACUCCUACGGGAGGCAGCAGUGGGGAAUUUUGGACAAUGGGCGAAAGCCUGAUCCAGCAAUGCCGCGUGUGUGAAGAAGGCCUUCGGGUUGUAAAGCACUUUUGUCCGGAAAGAAAACCUUGGCCCUAAUACGGUCGGGGGAUGACGGUACCGGAAGAAUAAGCACCGGCUAACUACGUG